This is a long non-coding RNA of Magnolia sinica, 1117 nucleotides long. RefSeq lists it as uncharacterized. Lineage: Eukaryota; Viridiplantae; Streptophyta; Magnoliopsida; Magnoliales; Magnoliaceae. The transcript has 4 exons. The record is from RefSeq and is a predicted model, not a curated record.
UAUGCCUGUCCCUUUUCUCUCUCUAUCUCCCGAACCCUCCCUCACGAAUACUCCCCUCUCACAAACCCCUCUUCUCUCCCUAAGCAUCCCCUCUCUCUCGAUCUCAAGAAGACUCCCCUCUCUCACGCCAUAAUCCGCGUCCAUUUUAGGCUUUGGAGAAACAUAGGAUUGAUCAGUCGCCUGAACACACAAGCCUAUUUAUUGAGAAGCUGAAGAAAGUGUUGGAGGGCUGCCUAUGUUCUUCACAAAAAGGGUGAGAAGCUCCUGGUAAAAAUCCUGCAGUUUGAUAAAAUUGAAAGCCUACCGACCGAUUUUCAGCCCGAAAGAAAUCACCAAAGAAUAAACUGAUGUAUCGACUCACCAAUAGAAAGUUUCCCUAUGCAGAGUAUUUGGAACAACAUCCAGAAGCAUCUAACUGGGGGAUUGGGAUCUCUAGUUUUAGAAAAAAUGCAUUGUUUCAAGAUUACCAUGGACUCAAAACUUUCGGACAGGAGUUUUUUUUUCCAGAUGGCUUUUUCAUUGUUGAAAUUCAAUGUCUUGAGUAGUUUAGUCUAGGAGCUUAUUUGCAUUGAUUACAACCUAAUGUAGCUUAUAUUGUUGUAUUUUCAUGUUAGCAGGUGUCAUGUACUUGUUGGGAAUGUCUAACUUGAAAGUAAUAUAACUGCAGUAUAGAUCCAUAUCCUCAGUACGAAUGUUGAGCAAGGGAAUCACAAUUUUGUUCUUUCUGUUUUAUUAAUUUGCUAAUUGCAAUCCUUUUGGCAAAUGUUCUGCAACAGAAGAUGGUGGAAAACUGAGUACAUGGUGUCUAGGUUUCAGUUACCAUAAAGAUCUGGCCUAAAGUUGUAACUUCAUCUGGUUUUUUUCGUGUCUCCUUUUUCCUUGCACCUGACUAAACUAUCUAGAACUUAUUUUCAGCAAAUGGCACCUGCAAAGCAAAUGAAGGUGAUUCAAGAAUUUCAGAAGCAAUCAGCACAAAUGGAUAUAACGGUAAGAUGUUAUCUUUUAUUUCAAUUGUGAAAUAUUGUGGUGUUGUUACUGACAAAUGACAAUGUCAAAGUCCCAUGGAAGUUUAUUCUACUGUUCUAUAGCUGUUACCAUUCAUUGGGUUACAUUCAUG